RNAcentral lists this unclassified non-coding RNA (2793 nucleotides) under Dimorphilus gyrociliatus. Its description in RNAcentral is "elongin-C". The record is from RNAcentral. Lineage: Eukaryota; Metazoa; Annelida; Polychaeta; Dinophilidae.
GCCUAUCGUGUCACGGUCAUGUGACCUAACAAGGAUAAUAUUUUCCAUAAAAUUAAAAUAGUACUAUUUUGAAUCAACUACAUUUGACUCUCGAUUAAUAGUAAACAUUAUGUUUUUGUUAAAUAACUAUAUUUAGAACUAAUACUUAACUUCAUUUUUUAUGAACUAUAUACGCCAGGUUAAUUACUUAAAUUGACAGGAAUGUGUACAAGUUGAAACUCAUAGAUUUGUACAAAUAAUACUAAAGAAAUGUUUAUGAUAUUUAAUCAAUUUACCAACUCGCUCAUUAUUAUUUUUAUCUAUUAAAGAGAUGUACUAAUUUAUGAAUAUCACAGUAUAAAAUUUAGAACAAUUUUCAGUUUGGAGAAAGGACAAUAAAAAUGUUCAUAAUAGACGAAGUCAAUUCAUUUGGAGAGGAAAUAAUAAUCAUCGAGAAACAACGUUUACCUAAAUAUCUAAAACUAACUGCAGGAGGUCAUGAAUUUAUAAUCAAAACUCAAUUUGCCUGGUUAUGCUCCAGUACAAUAAGAAAGAUGCUCUCUGGUAAUUAUAAGGAAGGAACUGGAGAAAUAUUUACUGUCCGUUUCAAAGACAUGCAGUCUCAUAUACUUGAGAAAGUAUGCGUUUAUAUUAUGUUUAAGGCUCAUUACGCUUGUAGCUUCUCAGCGAUCCCUGAGUUUACUGUCGACCCGAAUAUAUCUCUUGACUUGCUUAUUGCUGCUCAUUAUCUGGAUUGUUAGUUUACUGAGCGUGUAGCUUGAUUUAUUAUACUUAAUCUAACUGACAAUUUUUAUUAAAAAAAAACUGUAUUAAAUGGAAAAAGAAAUCCUUGAAAAUUUUUACGAGUUUUACAGAAGAGAUAGCUAAUUACGAAAAGACAAAAAAAAUAUAAACAGGCCUAUAUAUAUAUAUGAAAAAAAUUGCUCAUGUCCAAAAUGGCUAGUAUCUAGCAUGAAAAUGAAAAAAUAUACUUGUAUAAAAGAAAUUAGUAGUAAUGAAGAUUAUGACUCAUCGCUGAGAAGUCGUAGACUCGUGAACAUUCAUUAUAGAUGUAUUCUGGAUGAGGGUGCAUUUCAGUAAUUGGAACAGGAACAAAUUGUUGCUGUAAAUGGUAUUGCAUUUGGGGAGGGUAUGAUGGUAUUGGGUGCAUGUAGGCAGGAGGCUGUUGCUGCGGUGGUUGCUGCCAUAACAAAAAUUCUGCUACUCUCCUAAUCAUUACGGCUGAUGACAUUAUCUUGGCGUGCUCAGAUUUUUCAUAGAGUUUUUCGGUUUUUGCACAUAAAGAUCCACCAGUUUUAAUGUCAACUCUACAAGUACAAGAAAAAUAUAUUUUUCCACUCUCAGUUACCGUCCUCUCAAAUAUCCAAAUGGGAGUUUCUAGUCUAUUUAAAUCAUCACCAAAUUUGCAAAAUGCCAAUAGCAUAUUAACAAAACCAUUUGGAUCAAAUCUUCGAGCUCCAAGAUGUGAUUGGCGAUCAGUUUCCAAUCCAGGUACAACGUCUAGACGAUAAAAUUUGAAGCGAUUCGUUAUCCUUUCAACUAGGGGAUUAGCCAUUUUAAAUUGAGCCUUUGAGAGAACAACUGAUAGUUCUUGACCUUUGAAGACUCUACCAUUCAUAAUCGAAACGGCGAGUACACCAUCUUCGCUUGUUUUCAUAUCGAUAAAGGCCGCUUCAUUAAAACAUUUCACGUUUGCCACGGCAUCCGGUUUUCCAAUUGCCUUAUUAAAUUCUUCGCAAAGCUCUUCAGGCGUUGUAUCGACCCCUACGUUCCUAACAAACAAGUGUUUCAUACUUUCCGGUCUUUCACCCAUAAAUGCAACAUUGACUUGCUUAUGCUCCGGUUCAGCCCAUUCGCCACAAAUAGUAACUCCACCAACUUUAACUUUCUUCUGAAUUAUUAAUUUUCUAGCUUUGGCUGCUAGACGAUUAUUUUCAAAUUGAAUAAAAGCGAAUCCCCUAUUACUAUAAUUAGGUGGAUUAGUGCUAUUCUUAUAUAUAGUUACGUCCACUACACCCGCUAAGACUUUUGAUAGAUCAUUGAGUAUUUCGUCUUUGGUCAGAGUCCUUUUUAUGCAAGUUAUAUACAACUCUCUAUUAUCGAUGCUUAUUUUUACCGAAAUGGGGCAACCGGGUCUAAUAUGAGCGCCAUUCAAAUUAUCAACAGCCGCUUUGGCGCCUUCGGUCGAUGUAUACUUUACAAAAGCGAAACCUUGGGUGUUUAGUGCAUCCCAAUCUUCCAUCAUUAACCUUGUCUCAUACAAUUCUCCGACAGUACUAAAGAAAGGUACCAACUCAUCUUCCAAUAAAUUACGGGGUAGUGAAUUAACAAAAACUUCCGAACCUCUUUCCGGAUUAAAAGUCUUUAGUGGUGGCCUUGGUCCAAAAGUUCUUUGUCUUUUCUCGCGGUAAAUGGUACAGUCGAACUUCUUGCAUACAUCUUCAAUUUUAUCUUCAAGAACUAUCUCUCUUCUUUCUUUAGCUGCCAUGUCAAUGCUUCACCACCAAAUGACAGACGUAAUAACCCACUUUUGGUAUGGCGUGGGAACUUUCUGGAUAAAAAAUUGACUUUCAAUUGCUGAUUGGCUAGUUCACUAUCUUAAGUUGCUAAUAGGCUUUGAUUACGGUAGAUAGUUGCUCUGUGAUAUAAAUACCCCCUCUAAUUUUCCCAUGGAACUUUUAAAUUUUCUUUGUUUCCCACAAGAAUUACGCAGAACUUUCUAGAAUUUCAUCAUGUCUGGUCUGGCAGCCGACGUACUCACAGACAGACAGACAGGCGUCACCCUUUUUUUAU